GAGAUAAUAGUUUAAAUGGAAAAAUAAUUCCUGUACAGAAUGGUUGCGUGUUCGAAUCACGCUUAUCUCCCUA
This 73-nucleotide transfer RNA is filed under the name Chryseobacterium sp. JV274. Its description in RNAcentral is "Pseudo tRNA". It matches the Rfam family "tRNA". Rfam says of the family: Transfer RNA (tRNA) molecules are approximately 80 nucleotides in length. Their secondary structure includes four short double-helical elements and three loops (D, anti-codon, and T loops). The record is from RNAcentral. Lineage: Bacteria; Pseudomonadati; Bacteroidota; Flavobacteriia; Flavobacteriales; Weeksellaceae.